This 404-nucleotide ribosomal RNA is filed under the name Fusobacteriota bacterium. RNAcentral's name for it is "Fusobacteria bacterium partial 16S ribosomal RNA". It matches the Rfam family "Bacterial small subunit ribosomal RNA", at positions 355 to 776 of the family's 1533-position model. Lineage: Bacteria; Fusobacteriati; Fusobacteriota. The record is from RNAcentral.
UCGGGAAUUUUGCGCAAUGGGCGAAAGCCUGACGCAGCAACGCCGCGUGAGGGAUGAAGGCCUUCGGGUUGUAAACCUCUUUUCUCAGGGACGAUGAUGACGGUACCUGAGGAAGAAGCCACGGCUAACUACGUGCCAGCAGCCGCGGUAAUACGUAGGUGGCGAGCGUUGUCCGGAUUUACUGGGCGUAAAGAGCGCGCAGGCGGUCGGUCAAGUCGAGUGUGAAAGCCCCCGGCUCAACUGGGGAGGGUCAUUCGAUACUGAUCGACUCGAAGGCAGGAGAGGGAAGUGGAAUUCCCGGUGUAGUGGUGAAAUGCGUAGAUAUCGGGAGGAACACCAGUGGCGAAGGCGACUUCCUGGCCUGUUCUUGACGCUGAGGCGCGAAAGCUAGGGGAGCAAACGGG